AGAGAGAGGAGAGGCAACGACCAAGAAGGAAAGAGCCUCUCCGGGGAAGUUUCUCGAAGAUGUCUUAGAUGGCUGGCCGUCUUAGACAUCAUCGGAAGCUUCACCCGAGUAACUCUUCCCGCAAGCAAGCUAGGAGUCCCGCUCGGAAGCUGCUAGUAUACACCCAACAACCAGUAGCUCAGGGUGAGGAGGACUUCCCGGGAGCUGGUAUAUAUAACUCGACGACGGCGACCUCGAAGGAAAGAGCCUCUCCGGCAGAGCUUCUCGAAGAUGUCUUAUAUGGCCGGCCGUCUUAGUCAUCUUCGAAAGCUCCGCCCGAGAACUCUUCCCGCAAGCAGAGAGAGAGGAGAGGCAACGACCAGGAAGUUUUCAGCAUAAGCAUUUAACGCAAUGGUUGGAUCAAUUUUCACUGUGAAGGGCGGAAUUUCAGCGAACUUAUUAUAAUCUUCUGACAUGUUUGUCUUGUCCUCGACUCCCACGAUGGUUCUUUUCCCUGAAAGAACUAUGUGACGCUUUGGGGAUGAGCUUGUUUCCUUAUGUUUUCUUUUCUUCGGUCUGGAGGACAUGUCCUUCAUAUAGAAAACCUGAGCCACAUCAUUGGCUAGGACGAAUGGUCCGUCUCUGUAACCCAGAUUGUUGAGAUCCACUGUUGUCAUUCCGUACAGCUGGUCUACCUUUACCUCUUUUCCAUCCAGCUUGAACCAUUUGCACCGAAACAAAGGGAUCUUAAAAGAAGGUCCAUAGUCAAGUUCCCAUAUCUCCUCUAUGUAACCAUAAUAUGUGUCCUUUUCCCCACUGUUAGUGUUUGUUGCAUCAAUGCGGACACCACUGUUUUGGUUGGUGCUCUUUUUAUCUUGGGCGAACAUGUAAAAGGUAUUUCCAUUUAUCUCGUACCCCUGGAAAGUCAGUACAGUCGAAGAUGGUGACCCAGCCAACAAGUACAACUGAUCUCCAAUAUCGUUGUUAUUAAUGAGAUGUGCUUGAAGCCAACCGCCGAAUGUCUGCAUAUGUUUAUGUGUAAUCCAGUCUUCAGACUGCCCCGGAUGUUGGGAGCAUACAAUAUUCUUGUGUUCAGUGAUA
Molecule: long non-coding RNA, 1080 nt
Organism: Lolium perenne
Lineage: Eukaryota; Viridiplantae; Streptophyta; Magnoliopsida; Poales; Poaceae
Source: RefSeq, a predicted model, not a curated record